This 253-nucleotide ribosomal RNA is filed under the name uncultured bacterium. Its description in RNAcentral is "partial 16S ribosomal RNA". It matches the Rfam family "Bacterial small subunit ribosomal RNA", at positions 524 to 776 of the family's 1533-position model. The record is from RNAcentral.
UACAGGGGGGGCAAGCGUUGUUCGGAAUUACUGGGCGUAAAGGGCGCGUAGGCGGCCUUCUAAGUCAGACGUGAAAUCCCCAGGCUUAACUUGGGAACUGCGUCUGAUACUGGGAGGCUUGAGUGCGGGAGAGGGAUGUGGAAUUCCAGGUGUAGCGGUGAAAUGCGUAGAUAUCUGGAGGAACACCGGUGGCGAAGGCGGCAUCCUGGACCGACACUGACGCUGAGGCGCGAAAGCUAGGGGAGCAAACGGG